RNAcentral lists this ribosomal RNA (253 nucleotides) under uncultured bacterium. Its description in RNAcentral is "partial 16S ribosomal RNA". It matches the Rfam family "Bacterial small subunit ribosomal RNA", at positions 524 to 776 of the family's 1533-position model. The record is from RNAcentral.
UACGGGGGGGGCAAGCGUUGUUCGGAAUUACUGGGCGUAAAGGGCGCGUAGGCGGCCUGCUAAGUCGGGUGUGAAAACUCUGGGCUCAACCCAGAGCCUGCAUUCGAAACUGACGGGCUAGAGUUCUGGAGGGGAAAGCGGAAUUCCUGGUGUAGCGGUGAAAUGCGUAGAUAUCAGGAGGAACACCGGUGGCGAAGGCGGCUUUCUGGACAGAAACUGACGCUGAGGCGCGAAAGCUAGGGGAGCAAACAGG